This 492-nucleotide ribosomal RNA is filed under the name uncultured bacterium. RNAcentral describes it as "partial 16S ribosomal RNA". It matches the Rfam family "Bacterial small subunit ribosomal RNA", at positions 29 to 507 of the family's 1533-position model. The record is from RNAcentral.
AGUGAACGCUGACGGUAGGCCUAACACAUGCAAGUCGAACGGCAGCACAGUAAGAGCUUGCUCUUACGGGUGGCGAGUGGCGGACGGGUGAGGAAUACAUCGGAAUCUACUUUUUCGCGGGGGAUAACGUAGGGAAACUUACGCUAAUACCGCAUACGAUCUACGGGUGAAAGCAGGGGAUCUUCGGACCUUGCGCGAUUGAAUGAGCCGAUGUCGGAUUAGCUAGUUGGCGGGGUAAAGGCCCACCAAGGCGACGAUCCGUAGCUGGUCUGAGAGGAUGAUCAGCCACACUGGAACUGAGACACGGUCCAGACUCCUACGGGAGGCAGCAGUGGGGAAUAUUGGACAAUGGGCGCAAGCCUGAUCCAGCCAUACCGCGUGGGUGAAGAAGGCCUUCGGGUUGUAAAGCCCUUUUGUUGGGAAAGAAAAGCAGCAGGUUAAUACCCCGCUGUUCUGACGGUACCCAAAGAAUAAGCACCGGCUAACUUCGUG